This 1372-nucleotide ribosomal RNA is filed under the name uncultured bacterium. RNAcentral's name for it is "bacterial SSU rRNA". It matches the Rfam family "Bacterial small subunit ribosomal RNA", at positions 28 to 1381 of the family's 1533-position model. The record is from RNAcentral.
GAUGAACGCUGGCGGCGUGCCUAAUACAUGCAAGUCGAGCGAACGGACGAGAAGCUUGCUUUUCUGAUGUUAGCGGCGGACGGGUGAGUAACGCGUGGAUAACCUACCUAUAAGACUGGGAUAACUUCGGGAAACCGGAGCUAAUACCGGAUAAUACUUUGAACCGCAUGGUUCAAAAGUGAAAGACGGUCUUGCUGUCACUUAUAGAUGGAUCCGCGCUGCAUUAGCUAGUUGGUAAGGUAACGGCUUACCAAGGCAACGAUGCAUAGCCGACCUGAGAGGGUGAUCGGCCACACUGGAACUGAGACACGGUCCAGACUCCUACGGGAGGCAGCAGUAGGGAAUCUUCCGCAAUGGGCGAAAGCCUGACGGAGCAACGCCGCGUGAGUGAUGAAGGUCUUCGGAUCGUAAAACUCUGUUAUUAGGGAAGAACAUAUGUGUAAGUAACUGUGCACAUCUUGACGGUACCUAAUCAGAAAGCCACGGCUAACUACGUGCCAGCAGCCGCGGUAAUACGUAGGUGGCAAGCGUUAUCCGGAAUUAUUGGGCGUAAAGCGCGCGUAGGCGGUUUUUUAAGUCUGAUGUGAAAGCCCACGGCUCAACCGUGGAGGGUCAUUGGAAACUGGAAAACUUGAGUGCAGAAGAGGAAAGUGGAAUUCCAUGUGUAGCGGUGAAAUGCGCAGAGAUAUGGAGGAACACCAGUGGCGAAGGCGACUUUCUGGUCUGUAACUGACGCUGAUGUGCGAAAGCGUGGGGAUCAAACAGGAUUAGAUACCCUGGUAGUCCACGCCGUAAACGAUGAGUGCUAAGUGUUAGGGGGUUUCCGCCCCUUAGUGCUGCAGCUAACGCAUUAAGCACUCCGCCUGGGGAGUACGACCGCAAGGUUGAAACUCAAAGGAAUUGACGGGGACCCGCACAAGCGGUGGAGCAUGUGGUUUAAUUCGAAGCAACGCGAAGAACCUUACCAAAUCUUGACAUCCUUUGACAACUCUAGAGAUAGAGCCUUCCCCUUCGGGGGACAAAGUGACAGGUGGUGCAUGGUUGUCGUCAGCUCGUGUCGUGAGAUGUUGGGUUAAGUCCCGCAACGAGCGCAACCCUUAAGCUUAGUUGCCAUCAUUAAGUUGGGCACUCUAAGUUGACUGCCGGUGACAAACCGGAGGAAGGUGGGGAUGACGUCAAAUCAUCAUGCCCCUUAUGAUUUGGGCUACACACGUGCUACAAUGGACAAUACAAAGGGCAGCGAAACCGCGAGGUCAAGCAAAUCCCAUAAAGUUGUUCUCAGUUCGGAUUGUAGUCUGCAACUCGACUACAUGAAGCUGGAAUCGCUAGUAAUCGUAGAUCAGCAUGCUACGGUGAAUACGUUCCCGGGUCU